RNAcentral lists this transfer RNA (65 nucleotides) under Dipodomys ordii (Ord's kangaroo rat). It matches the Rfam family "tRNA". From Rfam's summary of the family: Transfer RNA (tRNA) molecules are approximately 80 nucleotides in length. Their secondary structure includes four short double-helical elements and three loops (D, anti-codon, and T loops). Further hydrogen bonds mediate the characteristic L-shaped molecular structure. tRNAs have two regions of fundamental functional importance: the anti-codon, which is responsible for specific mRNA codon recognition, and the 3' end, to which the tRNAs corresponding amino acid is attached (by aminoacyl-tRNA synthetases). tRNAs cope with the degeneracy of the genetic code in two manners: having more than one tRNA (with a specific anti-codon) for a particular amino acid; and 'wobble' base-pairing, i.e. permitting non-standard base-pairing at the 3rd anti-codon position. The record is from Rfam by way of RNAcentral. Lineage: Eukaryota; Metazoa; Chordata; Mammalia; Rodentia; Heteromyidae.
GGUGGCGCAGUGGUAGAGUGCUUGCCUUGCAUGCAUGAGGCCCUGGGUUCGAUUCCCCAGCACCA